This 253-nucleotide ribosomal RNA is filed under the name uncultured bacterium. Its description in RNAcentral is "partial 16S ribosomal RNA". It matches the Rfam family "Bacterial small subunit ribosomal RNA", at positions 524 to 776 of the family's 1533-position model. The record is from RNAcentral.
UACGGAGGGGGCGAGCGUUGUCCGAAGUUACUGGGCGUAAAGCGCGUGUAGGCGGGUUGCCAAGUCCGCUGUGAAAGCCCGAGGCUCAACCUCGGAGGGUCGGUGGAUACUGGCAGUCUUGAAGGUGCUAGGGGGAGAUGGAAUUACCGGUGUAGCGGUGAAAUGCGUAGAUAUUAGGAGGAACACCAGUUGCGAAGGCGGCUCUCUGGACUGUAACUGACACUGAGGCACGAAAGCGUGGGGAGCAAACAGG